This is a long non-coding RNA of Mesocricetus auratus (golden hamster), 713 nucleotides long. RefSeq lists it as uncharacterized. Lineage: Eukaryota; Metazoa; Chordata; Mammalia; Rodentia; Cricetidae. The record is from RefSeq and is a predicted model, not a curated record. The transcript is spliced from 2 exons.
UGCUGUUUCAUCUGUACUGGUGUUUGUUUUGUAAUUUUGGUUUUGUUUUGUUUGUUUUUUGUAAGGCAGGUCUGAAAGUGUAGUGACAAAAUGAACCUCAAGACAUGGCAAACUAUUUUGUCCUUCGGGGCUUCUGGAAUAGAACCUUCUGUCUUGCCUACCACUGACACCUCAAGCUCUUCACAGACAUAGCUUUCUGACCCCGCACACAGUGCACAGGAAUGGAUGGCUGGGAAGGACUUAAGGUCAAAAGCGACAUGAUCAUUGAUGCACUCUCUGAAGAUAACAGUUUGACCAUGAAAAAGAAAGAAUGGGAGUAGUCUCAGGUCUGGCGGACACUAUGCAGCUCUCAUGAUAACCAUCAACAGACACCUGGAUGAUGUCGGGGCAGAGGCAUGAAAAGGGGGAUGGCGGGGAUACUGAGAGCACGAUAUCAAAGCAGAACAGGUUGUAUCAGCCUGUCCUUCCAGGAACAUCCCCUUCUCUGUGGCUGUGUGCCAUCCCUACAUUUGUCUUCCUGGAAAACAGGCCAACCUUCUUUAUGCACAGGUGCAAACUUGGACUGUCGCUGCACUGGGAAGGUUGCAGUCACCUUGAGUGGAUUCCCCACACAGCUCAGCAACAUGCAGAGCCUUUCCUCUGCUGCUCUGUCAGCUCCGUUUUGCAUCAAGACUGCUUUGUGUGUCACCAAGUUAUUAAAGUUGCAGAUCACA